GAGGUUUCCGUCGCUCUGUUGAUUUUUUACUGAGUGCGGCUUCCACGUCUUUCUUGUAGCUUUCGCACGCAUAAAUAAGCCGUCGUGCGCCAUCUGAAGCUUGUCAGGGUGUGGGUUGUGUCAUGAGUUGGUGCCAAAAGACAGUGCGUGUACGAGAGUCAGGCGGCAUCGAGAUGGGCAUCAAGGCGGAGGAAAACGAGACCGAUCCUCGUGAAGAUAUUCUGCGGCAGACUCGAGGGAUCGUGGACCGGACCGGCUGCUACCGCCCAGAGACACCUUUAGAACAUCAUCUGCUGACCAGUCCUGACAUCCCCAUAUAUAUUUUCCAUCCCUUCCAUCAUCGAGGUUCACCUUUUCCAGACUUGCCAUUUUCAUAAUCGAUUCCGUAUAUCUACGCUAGGCUUGGAGUCCGUUUGUUCCCACGUUCAUCUUCAGCUAUCACCGCCCUCUGGUAUUAAACAAUUUUCGCAUUGUUUCUGCGUCGCAAUUACAGGUCGUGUGACGCUAGUACCUCGUCGAAUCCUUCAGCGAUGGUUGCUUUGGCCGACCACCCCAACUAACAUCACAGGUUGCCAAUUGCCACUGAUGCCUGUAAAUCCGACGUCCAUGUAUAGUUUCAGGUUGAGCCAACCGGUGAAGAAGAUAGCUGCUGGCUUUACUCUUUGCAAUGACCGUCGGCCGCGGCAACCUGGUCCGUGCGAUCCCGAUGUCCAUCCGAAUGGCAACGAUCAAAUAUCGAGCACGGUCCGAUAACAAGCCCGUCCGACAGCGAACCUUGGUGUGCGGUCAAGUUAUACGCGUGGAUGGUAAACAGUAUCCUGUUCGCGGAACCUCAGGACAAAGCUCGAGGAACGCCCGGAUUCCGCAGAACCCCGUACAUUUUUAAAAUCGUAUAACGCCGCGAAGAAUUGUUCAGUUCACCCAUAUGCACUGGGGUGAGGUAUCGCAGUUCUUGAAAUUCUUGGAACACCUCAACCCAUCGUCAUGAAUGUAGCUGUUGCUCAACUUGCGUGAAAUACUCUUAUGCCUUGGCAGGUAAAUGUGAGCCAUUUCUAGUGCUCAAUGCAAGAUUUUCCGUUGUGGGCCACAUGACGAAAUGUCGUAUUUCGUGCUUCCUUCACUUUCGCGAUCCCUCACAAAGUAAAUAUGCCUCAAGUGAGAAUUCUGCUCUCGUUGAGCGCGAGAAAACUAUGCGUAAAAUCGAUGCAUCUUCGUCGAGCCGUGUACCUCUUGUACGACUUUAUGCCAGCUAUGGUUAGUCCGGAAGAGUGGCUUAUAUUUUGGAUCCAAGGUAGAUGCAAGCUGUAACACAGUGACAUAAGAGAACAUGUAACUGGGUCGUGACAGAGUUCCCGGUUGUGCGCGCUUGGAGAAACAACGGCGAGGGUGCACGACCAUCUGAAGUGGACACCAUGGGACAUCUGAACCGCGUACAGAGAAGUUCCAGCAGGAGCGAGAGACACAAAUAUAUGAAGUGUACGACAUAGUGCAGGCACGAAACACUUGAGAAAAUAACGCCUGCUUCAGCACCGCGUUAUCGUUAUCGGCUAUCAUUGCUGCGGUAUAUUUUUGGAACGCUGUCGAGGAUUCUUUCACCAAGUGUUGGACGUACGGGAAGUUAAAUAUUGUUCAAUACAGGUAACAUCUGUCGUA
Ornithodoros turicata is the source of this 1653-nucleotide long non-coding RNA. RefSeq lists it as uncharacterized. The transcript has 3 exons. The record is from RefSeq and is a predicted model, not a curated record. NCBI's taxonomy places the organism in Eukaryota, Metazoa, Arthropoda, Arachnida, Ixodida, Argasidae.